GAUGAAGAACGUAGCGAAAUGCGAUAAGUAAUGUGAAUUGCAGAAUUCAGUGAAUCAUCGAAUCUUUGAACGCACAUUGCGCCCGCCAGUAUCCUGGCGGGCAUGCCUGUUCGAGCGUCAUUUCAACCAUCAAGCCCCCGGCUUGUGUUGGGGACCUGCGGCUGCCGCAGGCCCUGAAAAGCAGUGGCGGGCUCGCUGUCACACCGAGCGUAGUAGCAUACAUCUCGCUCUGGGCGUGCUGCGGGUUCCGGCCGUUAAACCACCUUCAUAACCCAAGGUUGACCUCGGAUCAGGUAGGAAGACCCGCUGAACUUAAGCAUAUCAAUAAGCGGAGGA
This 336-nucleotide unclassified non-coding RNA is filed under the name soil metagenome. Its description in RNAcentral is "partial contains 5.8S ribosomal RNA, internal transcribed spacer 2, and large subunit ribosomal RNA". The stretch from base 1 to 120 matches the Rfam family "5.8S ribosomal RNA", at positions 35 to 154 of the family's 154-position model. The record is from RNAcentral.